GAGACUCUGUGCGCGUGCAUAUCAAUAAGCGGAGGAAAAGAAACUAACAAGGAUUCCCCUAGUAACGGCGAGUGAAGCGGGAAGAGCUCAAAUUUGAAAUCUUAAAGGGUUUCCCUUUACGAAUUGUAGUUUAAAGAAGUGUUUUCUGUUGGAGUUUCGGUAAAAGUUCUUUGGAAUAGGACAUCAUAGAGGGUGAGAAUCCCGUAUUUGACCGUUACUUUCCAGCUGUGUGAUACACUUUCAAAGAGUCGGAUUGUUUGGGAAUGCAGUCCAAGAUGGGUGGUAAAUUUCAUCUAAAGCUAAAUAUUGGCGAGAGACCGAUAGCGAACAAGUACCGUGAGGGAAAGAUGAAAAGAACUUUGAAAAGAGAGUUAAACAGUACGUGAAAUUGUCAAAAGGGAAGCGUUUGACACCAGUGUUGUUUAGUUGAAAAUCAAUUCAAUAGUUUUUGAUUCUAAGUAGUAUUGACUUCAUCAGCUUGCUGCUUUCUUCUCAGAAAUUAUUGAAUGCACUUUUCAGUUAACAAGUCAACAUCAAUUUCUUUUGUUGUAAAAGGGUAAGAGGAAGGUGGCUUGGCUUUCGGAUAAAGUGUUUAUAGCCUUGUGCUCUCUGCAAUCGGAGAGAUUGAGGUCUGCAGCGUAGAUCCUUCGGGGUUAGAUACAUUUGGUGCUAAGUUAUAGCUUGUCCAUAGACAACUUGUUGACUAUGUUUAGUCAUUGUAGCUUACUCGCUGAUGCUAUUUUACCUACGCUUAGGAUGUUGAAGAUGUAGCACAUCAU
This 779-nucleotide ribosomal RNA is filed under the name uncultured Neocallimastigales. Its description in RNAcentral is "partial large subunit ribosomal RNA". It matches the Rfam family "Eukaryotic large subunit ribosomal RNA", at positions 23 to 635 of the family's 3401-position model. Lineage: Eukaryota; Fungi; Neocallimastigomycota; Neocallimastigomycetes; Neocallimastigales. The record is from RNAcentral.